UGAGUACUUAAAUCGGGCGCGGGGCUUGUUUUCACAGAGGCCCGGGACCGUUGGUGAGCAGUGGAGGAGGGUCAGGGCGGUGAGUACUUAAAUCGGGCGCGGGGCUUGUUUUCACAGAGGCCCAGGACCGUUGGAGAGCAGUGGAGGAGGGUCAGGGCUUACCGAAAUCCGUAACGCUCCACACUCCAUAGGGAGGGUUCUGGUGGAAGCUGCUGAUUGGUGGAAGCAGACUAGAGGAAGCAGCUGAUUGGGUGCAACCUCAGGUUAGCAUUUGUGCUUUCUGGUUAAAGGUACAGUGAGCCAAGAGUACAGUGGGCUAAGGGUACAGUGCUUUAGUAAAGGUGCAGUGGGCUAAAGGUACAGUGCUUUAGUAAAGGUACAGUGGGCUAAAGGUACAGUGCUUUAGUAAAGGUACAGUGGGCUAAAGGUACAGUGCUUUAGUAAAGGUACAGUGGGCUAAAGGUACAGUGCUUUUUGUUUAUAUAAUAAAGGGCAGUUUAAAGGUCACGAGGGAGCAGCUGUUGUGAGUCAGAUACCUGCUGAUUUCUCCCAGCAGUUUCUAAUGUAUUAUACUGGUAUCAGAUCCAGGGUAAGGCGGGAGAAUGACAGUCAGAGCAGUGUACUGUUCUGGAUGUCAGAUGUGGGAGGUCAUGGUGUCGAAUGGCCCUCCAGACGUCCACAUCUGCACCAGGUGCAGCAAGAUGGGGCUCCUAAGGGACCGUAUUAGGAUUCUGGAGCAGCAGCUCGAUGACCUCUGUCUGAUCAGGGAGAGUGAGGAGGUCAUAGAGGGGAGUUAUAGAGAGGUGGUCACUCCAAAGCCACGGGAGAGAGACAUGUGGGUCACAUUAAGGAAGGGCAAGGGGCAGAGGCAGGAACGAGUGAGUACUCCAAUGUCGGUACACCUCGCAAAUAAGUACUUCUGUUUGAGUACGGAUGGGGGUGACAGCCUACCCGGGGGUAGUGACAGCGGACGGGCCUCCAGCACAGAGACCGGCCCUGUUGCUCCAAAAGGUAGGGAAAAAAAAGAGGGCAAUAGUAAUUGGAGACUCUAUUGUUAGGGGGUUGGAUAGGCGAUUCUGUGGACGCAGUCGGGAGACCAGGAUGGUGGUCUGCCUCCCUGGUGCCAAGGUCUCGGACGCGUCUCAACGCAUCCAAGAUAUCCUUAAAUCAGAGGGAGAGGAGCCUGAGGUCGUGGUACAUAUAGGUACCAAUGACAUAGGUAAAAAAAGGGAAGAGGUCCUGAAGGGAGGAUUUAGGGAGUUGGGAGGAGAGUUAAGAAAAAGGACCAAAAAGGUAACAAUCUCAGGAUUACUGCCUGUGCCACGCGACAGUGAGAGUAGGAAUGGAGCGAGGUGGAGGAUAAAUGCGUGGCUGAAAGACUGGUGCAGAGGGCAGGGAUUCAAGUUCCUGGAUCAUUGGGACUUCUUUUGGGGAAGGUGGGACCUGUACAGAAAGGAUGGGUUGCACUUGAACCCGAGGGGGACCAAUAUCCUAGCGGGGAAAUUUGCAAAGGCAGCUGGGGAGACUUUAAACUAGAAUGGUUGGGGCGAGGGACUCAAAUAGCGAAAGGUAGUAGACAGAAUGGGAGGCAGGAAGCAGAAAUGGGAAGCACUCGGACACAAGAGGAGAAAGAAAAAAAAGGAAAUAAACAGAGAAUAAGAGACAGGGGUUUUCUUAAAUGUGCAUAUUUUAAUGCUAGGAGCAUUGUAAGAAAGGUGGAUGAGCUUAGAGUCUGGAUAGACACCUGGAAGUAUAAUGUUGUGGCGAUCAGUGAAACAUGGUUGCAGGAGGGCUGUGAUUGGAAACUAAAUAUUCCAGGAUUUCGCUGCUUCAGGUGUGAUAGAAUUGGAGGGGCAAGAGGUGGAGGUGUUGCAUUGCUAGUCAGGGAAGAUAUUACAGCAGUGCUUUGGCAGGAUAGAUUGGAGGGCUCAUCUAGGGAGGCUAUUUGGGUGGAAUUGAGAAGUGGGAAAGGUGUAGCAACUCUUAUAGGGGUGUAUUAUAGACCGCCAAACGGGGAACGAGAAUUGGAAGAGCAAAUAUGUAAGGAGAUAGCAGAUAUUAGUAGAAAGCACAAGGUAGUGAUUGUGGGAGAUUUCAACUUUCCACACAGACUGGGAAACACAUUCUGUAAAUGGGCUGGAUGGGUUGGAGUUUGUAAAAUGAGUGCAGGAUAGUUUUUUGCAGCAAUACAUAGAGGUACCUACUAGAGGAGGGGCAGGGCUGGACCUCCUGUUAGGAAAUGAGACGGGACAGGUGGCGGAGGUAUGCGUUGGGGAGCACUUCGGGUCCAGUGAUCACAAUACCAUUAGUUUCAAUAUAAUUAUGGAGAGGGUCAGAACUGGACCUAGGGUUGAGAUUUUUGAUUGGCGAAAGGCUAACUUUGAUGCGAUGCAAGAUGAUUUAAAAGGAGUGAACUGGGAAAUUUUGUUUUAUGGGAAAGAUGUAGAAGAGAAAUGGAGGACAUUUAAAGGGGAAAUUUUAAGAGUACAGAAUCUUUAUGUUCCUGUUCGGUUGAAAGGAAACAGUAAAAAUUGGAAAGAGCCCUGGUUUUCAAGGGAAAUUGGACAUCUUGUUCGGAAAAAGAGGGAGAUCUACAAUAAUUAUAGGCAGCAUGAAGUAAAUGAGGUUCCAUUAAGGUAUCAACUCAACUCUCCUGAGAAUUAAACGUGAUCAUUAUAAAUUCAGGUACCAGUUGAAUGACACUUUUUGAAAUUAAUCCAAAAGCUUUCUGCAAAACAGACCACAUUCUCUUUAUUUAUCAGAAUAUUAAGUAAAACAGACAAAAUGAAAGAACAUGAUAAUGUAAGCAUCAGAUUUUGUAUUCCUUGGUGCAAUUUGGUGCGAUUAAACUCUUGUUUUUCAUGUUUUAUAAUAAACAAUUGAACAUUUGGCUUUCAUAGUAAGAUCACAUAGUUUAAAUGGUUCAAUAUAUUCCAAAUCCUCAAAGAUCUAGUGGCACUUUUAUGCAAUGCUUUUAAGAAAACAUUGAAUGCUUUUCAGAAAUCAACUACAAGUU
Leucoraja erinaceus (little skate) is the source of this 3016-nucleotide long non-coding RNA. RefSeq lists it as uncharacterized. The transcript has 3 exons. Lineage: Eukaryota; Metazoa; Chordata; Chondrichthyes; Rajiformes; Rajidae. The record is from RefSeq and is a predicted model, not a curated record.